GCACUUCUAAAGAGUCCCACAAUAGGACGAAACGGCCGUUUAGUGC
Schistosoma curassoni is the source of this 46-nucleotide non-coding RNA. The record is from Rfam. Lineage: Eukaryota; Metazoa; Platyhelminthes; Trematoda; Strigeidida; Schistosomatidae.